Long non-coding RNA from Capsicum annuum, 502 nucleotides. RefSeq lists it as uncharacterized. The transcript is spliced from 3 exons. The record is from RefSeq and is a predicted model, not a curated record. Lineage: Eukaryota; Viridiplantae; Streptophyta; Magnoliopsida; Solanales; Solanaceae.
UAUCGACAUCUCCCUUUUACAGUCCUCACUUGAAAAAUUAAAAUUUCUGGGUUCAUAUAUAUGACCUUAAGAUCCAGUAUCGAUAAGAAAAGAAUCGACACUCCUGACUAGACAUGCAAAGUCUAAAUCAAAGACAUCAUCGGAGAGAGAAAAAUUCUAGAGAAGCAAAUUCGAUUCCAAAAUCUCAUUUUAGAGGAUGAACAGGCCAACAAAUUAGGGAGGCUAUGUAUGGAAAUGAAAUUGCAUAUAAUGUGGACAAAUUGAUGCUCUCCAACAUAUACCUGAUCUUGGCUGCACAAGUAAGGGUCUCGCGAAAAUCAUAUAGUCGGUCAAUACAUACGUUUUAUUGAAUAAUUGAUAAGGAAACAAUAGUUAAAUUUAUCAACCCAAAUGAUGAGCUUGAAAAGCCCUUGCCACCGCCGACCAAGUUGAAUGUCACACCUUUAGGCAAUAUUGCUCAGUUGAUUCCCGCUCCCUCUACAGAAAUUGGUAUAUUGUUCUU